AGAGUUUGAUCCUGGCUCAGGAUGAACGCUAGCGGCAGGCCUAACACAUGCAAGUCGAACGGUAACAUAGAGAAGCUUGCUUCUUUGAUGACGAGUGGCGCACGGGUGCGUAACGCGUAUACAAUCUGCCUCUUACAGGGGGAUAGCCUUUGGAAACGAAGAAUAAUACCCCAUAGUAUGUGAUUAUCGCAUGGUAAUUACAUUAAAGAUUUAUCGGUAAGAGAUGAGUAUGCGUCCUAUUAGCUAGAUGGUGUGGUAACGGCACACCAUGGCAACGAUAGGUAGGGGCCCUGAGAGGGGGAUCCCCCACACUGGUACUGAGACACGGACCAGACUCCUACGGGAGGCAGCAGUGAGGAAUAUUGGACAAUGGGCGCGAGCCUGAUCCAGCCAUGCCGCGUGCAGGAAGACUGCCCUAUGGGUUGUAAACUGCUUUUAUACGGGAAGAAACCCACCUACGUGUAGGUGGCUGACGGUACCGUAAGAAUAAGCAUCGGCUAACUCCGUGCCAGCAGCCGCGGUAAUACGGAGGAUGUAGCGUUAUCCGGAAUCAUUGGGUUUAAAGGGUCUGUAGGUGGACAAUUACGUCAGAGGUGAAAUCCUGCAGCUCAACUGUAGAAUUGCCUUUGAUACUGCUUGUCUUGGAAUUAUUGGUGAGUGGGUGAGAAUAUGUAGGGUAGCGGUGAAUGCAUAGAUAUACAUAGAUACCAUGCGAAGGCAGAUCACUUACAUAUAUGACACUGAUGACGAAAGCUGGGGAGCGACGGGAUAGAUACCCCGGUAGUCCACGCGUAAACGAUGUCACUAGCUGUCGGAUUCGGUCUGAGUGGCUAAGCGAAAGUGAUAAGUGACCCACCUGGGGAGUACGUUCGCAAGAAUGAAACUCAAAGGAAUUGACGGGGGCCCGCACAAGCGGUGGAGCAUGUGGUUUAAUUCGAUGAUACGCGAGGAACCUUACCAGGGCUUAAAUGUAGAUUGCAUUAGCUAGAGAUAGCUAU
RNAcentral lists this ribosomal RNA (998 nucleotides) under uncultured Bacteroidota bacterium. RNAcentral's name for it is "bacterial SSU rRNA". It matches the Rfam family "Bacterial small subunit ribosomal RNA", at positions 8 to 1013 of the family's 1533-position model. The record is from RNAcentral. Lineage: Bacteria; Pseudomonadati; Bacteroidota.